GGGGAAUAUUGGACAAUGGGCGGAAGCCUGAUCCAGCAACGCCGCGUGAGGGAUGACGGCCUUCGGGUUGUAAACCUCUUUCAGUACCGACGAAGCGCAAGUGACGGUAGGUACAGAAGAAGCACCGGCCAAC
RNAcentral lists this ribosomal RNA (133 nucleotides) under uncultured bacterium. RNAcentral describes it as "partial 16S ribosomal RNA". It matches the Rfam family "Bacterial small subunit ribosomal RNA", at positions 356 to 501 of the family's 1533-position model. The record is from RNAcentral.